RNAcentral lists this antisense RNA (169 nucleotides) under Vibrio genomosp. F10. RNAcentral describes it as "Vibrio sp. F10 Vibrio RNA AS7". It matches the Rfam family "Vibrio RNA AS7". Rfam says of the family: Identified by direct cloning an parallel sequencing experiments with 5S/tRNA depletion. The record is from Rfam by way of RNAcentral. Lineage: Bacteria; Pseudomonadati; Pseudomonadota; Gammaproteobacteria; Vibrionales; Vibrionaceae. RNAcentral also lists the same sequence under 1 other name.
GGGGUUUGAAGCAGCAGUUUAUUACGCUCCUUGAUAUCACCGCCAAUAUGGUAAGGCAAGCCGCAGUUAGCAAAAGAGACAAACUCACCGCGUUCAAACAUGAUAAUUUCAGCAUCUUCACUUAAUCGUCUUGCGCGAGCCGCAGCAGAAGCACCACCAGCAACGCCAC